This 255-nucleotide long non-coding RNA is filed under the name Elaeis guineensis (African oil palm). RNAcentral describes it as "long non-coding RNA (EGUI_LNC029711)". The record is from RNAcentral. Lineage: Eukaryota; Viridiplantae; Streptophyta; Magnoliopsida; Arecales; Arecaceae.
GCCUGCCUUCUUCUUAAAGAUCUUAUCCACAAGAAGAAGAGGAGCCUUAUCACUUUUGAGGUGACUCUCAACUAUCUUUAAAAUGUUAAGCAGCUCUGUUAGACUAGUAUUCAGUUUGUUCAUAUGAUAAUUUAUAAUAAACUAUGAGAAUGACCCCAAAAAUGAUUUCAGAAUCAGAUCCUGACUGAGCUCUCCAUCCAUGACAAACACUAAUUGACUCAAUUGAGUGAUUAAGUCAAUUAUCUUUAGCACAUG